ACACAUGCAAGUCGAACGGCAGCACGGGAGCUUGCUCCUGGUGGCGAGUGGCGAACGGGUGAGUAAUGCGUCGGAACGUACCGAGUGAUGGGGGAUAACGCAGCGAAAGUUGUGCUAAUACCGCAUACGCCCUGAGGGGGAAAGUGGGGGAUCGCAAGACCUCACGUUAUUCGAGCGGCCGACGUCUGAUUAGCUAGUUGGUGGGGUAAUGGCUCACCAAGGCGACGAUCAGUAGCGGGUCUGAGAGGAUGAUCCGCCACACUGGGACUGAGACACGGCCCAGACUCCUACGGGAGGCAGCAGUGGGGAAUUUUGGACAAUGGGGGCAACCCUGAUCCAGCCAUUCCGCGUGAGUGAAUAAGGCCUUCGGGUUGUAAAGCUCUUUCAGCAGGAACGAAACGGUAGGGGCUAAUACCCUCUGCUAAUGACGGUACCUGCAGAAGAAGCACCGGCUAACUACGUGCCAGCAGCCGCGGUAAUACGUAGGGUGCGAGCGUUAAUCGGAAUUACUGGGCGUAAAGCGUGCGCAGGCGGAUUGUUAAGCAAGACGUGAAAUCCCCGGGCUUAACCUGGGAAUGGCGUUUUGAACUGGCAGUCUAGAGUGUGUCAGAGGGGGGUGGAAUUCCACGUGUAGCAGUGAAAUGCGUAGAGAUGUGGAGGAACACCAAUGGCGAAGGCAGCCCCCUGGGAUAACACUGACGCUCAUGUACGAAAGCGUGGGUAGCAAACAGGAUUAGAUACCCUGGUAGUCCACGCCCUAAACGAUGUCAACUGGUUGUUGGGGGAGUGAAAUCCCUUAGUAACGAAGCUAACGCGUGAAGUUGACCGCCUGGGGAGUACGGUCGCAAGAUUAAAACUCAAAGGAAUUGACGGGGACCCGCACAAGCGGUGGAUGAUGUGGAUUAAUUCGAUGCAACGCGAAAAACCUUACCUACCCUUGACAUGUCCAGAAUCCUGCAGAGAUGCGGGAGUGCCCGAAAGGGAAUUGGAACACAGGUGCUGCAUGGCUGUCGUCAGCUCGUGUCGUGAGGUGUUGGGUUAAGUCCCGCAACGAGCGCAACCCUUAUCAUUAGUUGCUACGCAAGGGCACUCUAAUGAGACUGCCGGUGACAAACCGGAGGAAGGUGGGGAUGACGUCAAGUCCUCAUGGCCCUUAUGGGUAGGGCUUCACACGUCAUACAAUGGUCGGUACAGAGGGUUGCCAAGCCGCGAGGUGGAGCCAAUCCCAGAAAGCCGAUCGUAGUCCGGAUUGUUCUCUGCAACUCGAGAGCAUGAAGUCGGAAUCGCUAGUAAUCGCGGAUCAGCAUGUCGCGGUGAAUACGUUCCCGGGUCUUGUACACACCGCCCGUCACACCAUGGGAGUGGAAUCUGCCAGAAGUAGGUAGCCUAACCGCAAGGAGGGCGCUUACCACGGUGGGUUUCAUGACUGGGGUG
Molecule: ribosomal RNA, 1434 nt
Filed under: metagenome
Description: bacterial SSU rRNA
Rfam family: Bacterial small subunit ribosomal RNA
Source: RNAcentral